UUACGGCCACAUCACACUGAAAUAGCGGUUCCCGUACAAUUACCGAAGUUAAGCAACGUCGAGUCUGGUCUGUACCUAGGUGGGUGACCAUUUGGGAAUACCAGGGGCUGUAU
Acanthosepion pharaonis is the source of this 113-nucleotide non-coding RNA. NCBI's taxonomy places the organism in Eukaryota, Metazoa, Mollusca, Cephalopoda, Sepiida, Sepiidae. The record is from the annotation of a GenBank genome assembly.